GACGAACGCUGGCGGCGCGCUUAACACAUGCAAGUCGAACGGAAAGGCCUGCUUUCCCUUGUGGAUUGCGGGUACCCGAGUGGCGAACGGGUGAGUACCACGGGAGUGAUCUGCCCCCAACUUGGGUAUAAGCCUGGGAAACUGGGUCUAUUUCCGGUUAGGACUGCAGGGUGGUGCCUGUGGUGGAAAACGAUUUCUAGUGGUUGGGGAUGGGCUCGCGGCCUAUCAGCUUGUUGGUGGGGGAAUGGCCUACCAAGGCGGCGACGGGUAGCCGGCCUGAGAGGGUGGACGGCCACAUUGGGACUGAGAUACGGCCCAGACUCCUACGGGAGGCAGCAGUGGGGAAUAUUGCACAAUGGGCGGAAGCCUGAUGCAGCGACGCCGCGUGGGGGAUGACGGCCUUCGGGUUGUAAACUCCUUUCGACCGCGAGGAAGCCACCUGGUUGGAAGGGUGGUGACGGUAGUGGUAGAAGAAGCACCGGCUAACUACGUG
RNAcentral lists this ribosomal RNA (493 nucleotides) under uncultured bacterium. RNAcentral's name for it is "partial 16S ribosomal RNA". It matches the Rfam family "Bacterial small subunit ribosomal RNA", at positions 28 to 507 of the family's 1533-position model. The record is from RNAcentral.